This 466-nucleotide ribosomal RNA is filed under the name uncultured bacterium. RNAcentral's name for it is "partial 16S ribosomal RNA". It matches the Rfam family "Bacterial small subunit ribosomal RNA", at positions 30 to 507 of the family's 1533-position model. The record is from RNAcentral.
CGAACGCUGGCGGCGUGCUUAACACAUGCAAGUCGAACGGAAAGGCCCUGCUUUUGUGGGGUGCUCGAGUGGCGAACGGGUGAGUAACACGUGAGUAACCUGCCCUUGACUUUGGGAUAACUUCAGGAAACUGGGGCUAAUACCGGAUAGGAGCUCCUGCUGCAUGGUGGGGGUUGGAAAGUUUCGGCGGUUGGGGAUGGACUCGCGGCUUAUCAGCUUGUUGGUGGGGUAGUGGCUUACCAAGGCUUUGACGGGUAGCCGGCCUGAGAGGGUGACCGGCCACAUUGGGACUGAGAUACGGCCCAGACUCCUACGGGAGGCAGCAGUGGGGAAUAUUGCACAAUGGGCGGAAGCCUGAUGCAGCAACGCCGCGUGCGGGAUGACGGCCUUCGGGUUGUAAACCGCUUUCGCCUGUGACGAAGCGUGAGUGACGGUAAUAGGUAAAGAAGCACCGGCUAACUACGUG